CUUAGCUAAACCACGGUCAUUAAAAUGACUUUUCCCAUCCCUAGUGUGGUAGGAAACAUAAACUUGGAUCUACACUUCACUGGACUCCAAAACAGUAUAAUGUAAACUAUUACAUGACAAAUCAGUAUUUCAGAACAGAAUGCCAUAUUUGCUGUAUUAGAAAAAUGUGACUUCUCCAAUGGUUUUAUGACUGUAAGUGAUAAUUUUAGAGGAAUCAUGAUUUCCCUCACGAGAGUCUUAAACUUAUGCUAAUGCUGCUGCUAAAAUUAGAAAGUCAGAAAUGGCACUCGGAACGUGAUGUCACUGCCACAUCUGUAUCAAAAAUUCAAUUUGUUUUACACAUG
Long non-coding RNA from Thalassophryne amazonica, 344 nucleotides. RefSeq lists it as uncharacterized. NCBI's taxonomy places the organism in Eukaryota, Metazoa, Chordata, Actinopteri, Batrachoidiformes, Batrachoididae. The transcript has 3 exons. The record is from RefSeq and is a predicted model, not a curated record.